CAACCCUUAAGCCUAGCUUAGUAUUGGGAACCUACGGUACCGGCGUGUUUUGCUACCCUGUAGCCGCGCCUCGUAGCUCCUUAAAGACAACGGCGGAGACGUAGAGUCCUCUAAGCUUAGUAAUUUGUUUCUAGCUUCUGAAGGCCCUGCGGCCCCUGCCGUAAAACCCCUCCUCGGAGGAACUUUCUCGU
This 191-nucleotide unclassified non-coding RNA is filed under the name uncultured Ascomycota. RNAcentral's name for it is "sequence contains ITS2". Lineage: Eukaryota; Fungi; Ascomycota. The record is from RNAcentral.